Molecule: ribosomal RNA, 468 nt
Filed under: uncultured bacterium
Lineage: Bacteria
Description: partial 16S ribosomal RNA
Rfam family: Bacterial small subunit ribosomal RNA
Source: RNAcentral
ACGAACGCUGGCGGCGUGCUUAACACAUGCAAGUCGAACGAUGAAGCACCAGCUUGCUGGUGUGGAUUAGUGGCGAACGGGUGAGUAACACGUGAGUAACCUGCCCCUCACUCUGGGAUAAGCCUGGGAAACUGGGUCUAAUACUGGAUACGACCGAUCUCCGCAUGGAAUGUUGGUGGAAAGUUUUUGUGGUGGGGGAUGGACUCGCGGCCUAUCAGCUUGUUGGUGGGGUAAUGGCCUACCAAGGCGACGACGGGUAGCCGGCCUGAGAGGGCGACCGGCCACACUGGGACUGAGACACGGCCCAGACUCCUACGGGAGGCAGCAGUGGGGAAUAUUACACAAUGGGCGAAAGCCUGAUGCAGCGACGCCGCGUGAGGGAUGACGGCCUUCGGGUUGUAAACCUCUUUCACCAGGGACGAAGCUAACGUGACGGUACCUGGAGAAGAAGCACCGGCUAACUACGUG